RNAcentral lists this ribosomal RNA (465 nucleotides) under Vreelandella stevensii. RNAcentral's name for it is "partial 16S ribosomal RNA". It matches the Rfam family "Bacterial small subunit ribosomal RNA", at positions 338 to 795 of the family's 1533-position model. The record is from RNAcentral. Lineage: Bacteria; Pseudomonadati; Pseudomonadota; Gammaproteobacteria; Oceanospirillales; Halomonadaceae.
CCUACGGGGGGCUGCAGUGGGGAAUAUUGGACAAUGGGGGCAACCCUGAUCCAGCCAUGCCGCGUGUGUGAAGAAGGCCCUCGGGUUGUAAAGCACUUUCAGUGAGGAAGAACGCCUGGUGGUUAAUACCCAUCAGGAAAGACAUCACUCACAGAAGAAGCACCGGCUAACUCCGUGCCAGCAGCCGCGGUAAUACGGAGGGUGCGAGCGUUAAUCGGAAUUACUGGGCGUAAAGCGCGCGUAGGUGGCUUGAUAAGCCGGUUGUGAAAGCCCCGGGCUCAACCUGGGAACGGCAUCCGGAACUGUCAAGCUAGAGUGCAGGAGAGGAAGGCAGAAUUCCCGGUGUAGCGGUGAAAUGCGUAGAGAUCGGGAGGAAUACCAGUGGCGAAGGCGGCCUUCUGGACUGACACUGACACUGAGGUGCGAAAGCGUGGGUAGCAAACAGGAUUAGAUACCCUUGUAGUC